CGGAGAUUUGUGAUUGCUCUUUCUCCUCAGUAACAGCAGCCAUCCCUUUAUUCAAGACCUGAGAGGCCACAUUAUCUUUGGAGGAGGCUGGACAGCAUGAGUCGAAGGCUCUAGAGAAGAUUGAGAAUGUUCCAAAAGUCUACCACCACACUACUUUGGAAAGGCCAAGGGUAAACAGCUUCAGGGCAUGCCCACGUGGACUAGGACGGAAAAUAGUCCUUUUCAACCACAGAGAAAAGUGCAGCCUGCUCUUGCCAGUGUGGGGAGACAGAUCUUCCAGCUGGAUCACCCUUACUCCUCUUCAGGAUCGAAGAUUUCCUAGAGCAGAAGAAUUAAGAAUUGGCAAAUUAAGUUGACCAUAAAGAGGAGUGAAUGUGGAGAUGUGACAGAGGGCAAAGACCAAAUUCCUCAUGACCACCACCACCAUCACCA
Molecule: long non-coding RNA, 432 nt
Filed under: Equus caballus (horse)
Lineage: Eukaryota; Metazoa; Chordata; Mammalia; Perissodactyla; Equidae
Description: lncRNA (ENSECAG00000049981.1)
Source: RNAcentral